UUGGAGCCCAAAGAACAAGAGAUGUUUCUAGAUAUAGCUUGUUUUUUCCGAGGAGAUGAAAAAAAGAAAGUCAUGCAAAUAUUUGAGAGCUGUGAUUUUGGACCUGAAUAUGGAUUGGAUGUCCUAAUUGAAAAAUCUCUUGUCUUCUUAACUGAAGAUGAUACAAUUCAAAUGCAUGACUUAAUACAAGAUAUGGGUAAAUAUAUAGUGAAAAUUCAAAAGGAUGCAGGCGAAUGUAGCAGAAUAUGGGAGUAUGAAGAUUUUGAAGAACUGAUGGUCAACAAUACAGGGACCAAGGCAAUGGAAG
This 307-nucleotide unclassified non-coding RNA is filed under the name Hevea brasiliensis (rubber tree). Lineage: Eukaryota; Viridiplantae; Streptophyta; Magnoliopsida; Malpighiales; Euphorbiaceae. The record is from RNAcentral.